Symphalangus syndactylus (siamang) is the source of this 1032-nucleotide long non-coding RNA. RefSeq lists it as uncharacterized. NCBI's taxonomy places the organism in Eukaryota, Metazoa, Chordata, Mammalia, Primates, Hylobatidae. The record is from RefSeq and is a predicted model, not a curated record.
AAUUUAUCACUAUAUUCCGAUUAUUUUAUUACUACCACUGUUAUAAUUUGCAAUUGCAUAUUUCUCUGUUGACUCAUUAUCUGUCUUUCCCAAUAGAUUUAUUUUAUUUUAUUUUUUAUUUAUUUAUUUUUUUCGAGACAGGUCUCACUCCGUCACCCAGGCUGGAGUGCCGUGGCAUGAUCUCAGCUCACUACAACCUCUGCCUCCUGGGUUCAAGCGAUUCUUGUGUCUCAGCCUCCUGAGUAGCUGGGAUUACAGAGCACCGCUUUUAGAAUCUGCAUACUAUUCCACCCUACAGAGAUUCAUGGAAUCAUGACUACAAUCAAAAUACAGAGCUAUUUCAUCAUCAUAAAGGAUUCCAGACAACUCCAUGAAGAAGCCCCAAAACUCUCAGCACUGAGAGUGACAAGUCCAGUGCCUGACACAUUGGAGGUAUGCAAUAAGUGUUUACCAAGACUCCUGCAGUAAUCACCAGUGGACCAUGUAAGAAGAGACUUCAAAAGAAAAAAAGGCCUGGCGCGGUGGCUCACGCCUUUAAUCCCAACACUUUGGGAGGCCGAGGCAGGCGGAUCACGAGGUCAGGGGAUCGAGACCAUCCUGGCUAACAUGGUGAAACCCCAUCUCUACUAAAAGAUACAAAAAAUUAGCUGGGUGUGGUGGUGGGCGCCUGUAGUCCCAGCUACUCAGGGGGCUGAGGCAGGAGAAUGGCGUGAACCCGGGAGGCAGAGCUUGCAGUGAGCCGAGAUUGCACCACUGCACUUCAGCCUCGGCGACAGAGCGAGACUCCAUCUCAAAAAAAAAAGAAAAAAGAAAAAAAAACACAAAACAGGCAUGCUUGAGGCUGAAUGACAAAAGCCAAGCAAAGAACAAGAUGGGCUAAGUGCGAUGGGAGGCAGGGUCUGUACGGUGCUGAUCCCUGCAUGUCCCCUUUCAAACAGCAGGAAAUUCCAUCAAACAUCACAUAAGCCAAAGUAUGAACUUUGACUUACCAUUACUGACUUUGAAUUUCAAAUCCUCCUAAGCACUUUAACA